RNAcentral lists this transfer RNA (77 nucleotides) under Chloroflexaceae bacterium. RNAcentral describes it as "tRNA-Trp". It matches the Rfam family "tRNA". From Rfam's summary of the family: Transfer RNA (tRNA) molecules are approximately 80 nucleotides in length. Their secondary structure includes four short double-helical elements and three loops (D, anti-codon, and T loops). Lineage: Bacteria; Bacillati; Chloroflexota; Chloroflexia; Chloroflexales; Chloroflexaceae. The record is from RNAcentral.
AGAUGGGUAGCUCAAUGGGGCAGAGCAGCAGUCUCCAACACUGCGUCGUAGUGGUUCGAGUCCACUCCCAUCUGCCA